UUCUUUUCUGUCUAUGUCCUAGUUUCCUAUAGUUUAAAAGUAUGGUAUUUAGGGUUGGAGGCAGUAAGAUCAUAGUGGAAGCUAUGAGAUUGGUUGAUCUAGAAAAGAGUGAGGAAUGAGUGACUUCAUGAACCCUUACUCACAACUACAAGUAGAUUGAUCCAUAGAUACUCAGAAUCUUUCCAGCAAGGAUGGGCAAGGCCUGGUACCAUCAGAAUGGUAGAGACUGUUCUCUGUCACAUGUUAAGCUAAUGGAGAGCUAACCAGGAGAUGGGCAGAGGAAUCCCUAUGACAUCAAUCACAAUCACAGGUUCUCCUCUAGGACUUUGUCAUCUCAGAAACAUGGGCCAAAUGCUGCUGGGAAGAAGGAGGUGGGAAGGAUUUGGCCCCAGCCAUGUGCACUGGUGGAAUGGGGGCCGGCAGGGCCUGUGAUCAAGCAUGGUGUCAUCGUGCCUUUUCAGAGGAAGGCUCCUAAGCCUCUUCCCCAUGGGGAUUGCAUCAGCUGAGGAGGCUGCUCAUUCUCGGCAGAAACCACUCCCCCAC
Molecule: long non-coding RNA, 543 nt
Organism: Phascolarctos cinereus (koala)
Lineage: Eukaryota; Metazoa; Chordata; Mammalia; Diprotodontia; Phascolarctidae
Source: RefSeq, a predicted model, not a curated record